CAGACUGAUUUAAAACAGCACCAGAGGAACCCGACUGAACAGAAAAUGAAGUUGCAAAAACUCUUCCAGGGUUAUCUGGAA
This is a small nucleolar RNA of Andrographis paniculata, 81 nucleotides long. Lineage: Eukaryota; Viridiplantae; Streptophyta; Magnoliopsida; Lamiales; Acanthaceae. The record is from RefSeq and is a predicted model, not a curated record.